This 384-nucleotide ribosomal RNA is filed under the name uncultured bacterium. RNAcentral's name for it is "bacterial SSU rRNA". It matches the Rfam family "Bacterial small subunit ribosomal RNA", at positions 525 to 896 of the family's 1533-position model. The record is from RNAcentral.
ACGGGGGGGGCUAGUGUUAUUCGGAAUGACUAGGCGUAAAGGGCACGUAGGCGGUGAAUCCGGUUGAAAGUGAAAGUCGCCAGCUCAACUGGCGGAAUGCUUUCAAAACCAAUUCACUUGAGUAAGAUAGAGGAUAGUGGAAUUUCGUGUGUAGAGAUAAAAUUCACAGAUAUACGAAGGAACACCAAAAGCGAAGGCAGCUUUCUGGGUCUCUACUGACGCUGAGGUGCGAAAGCAUAGGGAGCAAACAGGAUUAGAUACCCUGGUAGUCUAUGCCGUAAACGAUGAGUGUUCGUCCUUGGUCUGCGCUGUAUGCAAAACGGCUGAUCAGGGGCCCAGCUAACGCGUUAAACACUCCGCCUGGGGAGUACGGCCGCAAGGCUG